RNAcentral lists this ribosomal RNA (503 nucleotides) under Perionyx sp. 1 PK-2012. Its description in RNAcentral is "partial 16S ribosomal RNA". It matches the Rfam family "Bacterial large subunit ribosomal RNA", at positions 1833 to 2622 of the family's 2925-position model. The record is from RNAcentral. Lineage: Eukaryota; Metazoa; Annelida; Clitellata; Crassiclitellata; Megascolecidae.
AAGGAGGCAUUGUAUAGAGGGUAAUUUCUGGCCCAGUGACACCGGUUCAACGGCCGCGGUAUCCUAACCGUGCAAAGGUAGCAUAAUCACUUGCCUAUUAAUUGUAGGCUAGAAUGAACGGAUAAACGAAAUAAACCCUGUCUCAGUUAGCAAACUAAAAAUUAUUCUCCAUACGAAGAAAUAUGGAUACACUCGAAGGACAAGAAGACCCUAUAGAGCUUUAUUUAAACCAUAGAUUCCUCCUAUGUAAAAAUUCGGUUGGGGCGACCUAGGGACUAUCAAUCACCCUACAACACAAAGAUAAAUUAAUCAUAUGACUGACCCUUAUAAGAUCACAAAAUCAAGCUACCUUAGGGAUAACAGGCUAAUCCCAUUCAAGAGUCCAUAUCAACAAUGGGGUUUGGCACCUCGAUGUUGGCUUAGGUAACUAUAUAGCGCAGAAGCUAUAUUAUGUUGGUUUGUUCAACCAAUAAUUUCCUACGUGAUCUGAUUUCAGACACAGA